RNAcentral lists this long non-coding RNA (682 nucleotides) under Anser cygnoides (Swan goose). Its description in RNAcentral is "lncRNA (ENSACDG00005006996.1)". The record is from RNAcentral. Lineage: Eukaryota; Metazoa; Chordata; Aves; Anseriformes; Anatidae.
GUGCUGUCUUGACCACCCAGGACAUCUGCAGCUCCCCAGGUGAGGGGGAGCGUGGGGAUGGGUGGCAGAGGGGAGGUGUGUGUGGAUGUGGUGAUUGAUAUGGGAAGGCAGAAGGGGUUUGUUCUCCGCCUGUUAAUCCCUUGGCAGGAGACUUUUCACCAUUAGGGAUACAGGUCACUUUGCAUCUCUGCUGUCACUAACGCUGCCCAGGGAAUCCCUGCGCCGUCUCUUCCAGGUGACCUCCCGGCUCCAGCCCUCUUCCUUAACACCUCCAGAGCUCAAGAGGGGGAAUUGGUUUCACUUCGCUGCACCAUUGAUGGCCCUUCCGUGCCUUCCCGAAUUGUAUUCUGCAAGGACAGGAUGGAGGCACGCAGCAUGAAAUGGCAACCAUGGCAGCUGAGCUACACCAUUAUUUUAGACGUCACCGAGAAGAGCGAGGGGACAUACACGUGUGGGUACCAGGUCAACGAUGGCAGGAACCGAGUGAGGAGCUCUGCCCUCAGUGCUGCCCGCCUCCUGGAUGUCCCCGGCAGUGUGACCAGCUCCCCGGCAAGGCCAUCACCCCCAGCUCCCCAUGCCCGGCUCCCGCACGCCCUCCCCACAGGCACGGCGCUGGCAGUGGCGGCCGUCGGCCUCGUCCUCCUGGCUGCAGGCAGCUGGUUUGCCAUCAGGAAAGGUGAGG